RNAcentral lists this ribosomal RNA (506 nucleotides) under uncultured bacterium. RNAcentral describes it as "bacterial SSU rRNA". It matches the Rfam family "Bacterial small subunit ribosomal RNA", at positions 30 to 528 of the family's 1533-position model. The record is from RNAcentral.
AUUGAACGCUGGCGGCAUGCUUUACACAUGCAAGUCGAACGGCAGCACGGGGGCAACCCUGGUGGCGAGUGGCGAACGGGUGAGUAAUAUAUCGGAACGUACCCGGAAAUGGGGGAUAACGUAGCGAAAGUUACGCUAAUACCGCAUAUGCCCUAAGGGGGAAAGCGGGGGAUUCGCAAGAACCUCGCGUUUUCGGAGCGGCCGAUAUCGGAUUAGCUAGUAGGUGAGGUAAAGGCUCACCUAGGCGACGAUCCGUAGCUGGUCUGAGAGGACGACCAGCCACACUGGAACUGAGACACGGUCCAGACUCCUACGGGAGGCAGCAGUGGGGAAUUUUGGACAAUGGGCGCAAGCCUGAUCCAGCCAUGCCGCGUGAGUGAAGAAGGCCUUCGGGUUGUAAGCUCUUUCGGCUAGGAACGAACGGCGGGCUCUAACAUAGCCUGUCAAUGACGGUACCUGAAGAAGAAGCACCGGCUAACUACGUGCCAGCAGCCGCGGUAAAGUGU